GCGCUCGUAGCGCAGUUGGAUAGCGUGUCAGACUCCGACUCUGAAGGCCGUGGGUUCGAAUCCCGCCGGGCGCACCA
RNAcentral lists this transfer RNA (77 nucleotides) under Anaerofilum sp. An201. RNAcentral describes it as "tRNA-Arg". It matches the Rfam family "tRNA". From Rfam's summary of the family: Transfer RNA (tRNA) molecules are approximately 80 nucleotides in length. Their secondary structure includes four short double-helical elements and three loops (D, anti-codon, and T loops). The record is from RNAcentral. Lineage: Bacteria; Bacillati; Bacillota; Clostridia; Eubacteriales; Oscillospiraceae. RNAcentral also lists the same sequence under 1 other name.